CUACGGGAGGCUCCAGUGAGGAAUAUUGCACAAUGGGGGAACCCUGAUGCAGCAACGCCGCGUGGAGGAUGACGCAUUUCGGUGUGUAAACUCCUUUUAUAUGUCAAGAAAAUGACGGUAGCAUAUGAAUAAGCACCGGCUAACUCCGUGCCAGCAGCCGCGGUAAUACGGAGGGUGCAAGCGUUACUCGGAAUCACUGGGCGUAAAGGACGCGUAGGCGGGUUGGAAAGUCAGGUGUGAAAUCCUACAGCUUAACUGUAGAACUGCACUUGAAACUUCUAAUCUAGAGUAUGGGAGGGGGAGAUGGAAUUAGUGGUGUAGGGGUAAAAUCCGUAGAUAUCACCAGGAAUACCUAAAGCGAAGGCGAUCUCCUGGAACAUUACUGACGCUAAGGCGUGAAAGCGUGGGGAGCAAACAGGAUUAGAUACCCUUGUAGUC
RNAcentral lists this ribosomal RNA (438 nucleotides) under uncultured bacterium. RNAcentral's name for it is "partial 16S ribosomal RNA". It matches the Rfam family "Bacterial small subunit ribosomal RNA", at positions 339 to 795 of the family's 1533-position model. The record is from RNAcentral.